Bison bison bison is the source of this 135-nucleotide small nucleolar RNA. Lineage: Eukaryota; Metazoa; Chordata; Mammalia; Artiodactyla; Bovidae. The record is from Ensembl.
AUGCCUCUAUUGGACAGGCCUGGAGUAGUUACUCUCUGCUAAGGUUUCCACUACAUACAGAUGCAAGAAAAAUAUGUCCUCAAGCUUUCUGUCUGUCUUGCUGUGGCAGCCCAGAUUGAAUGGGAGAAUGCAUGG